AGAUUGAUCCUUACUCAUUCGAUCCGAGUCCUUGAAAAUACGGAUAUAAAAAACUCGGACCGAACUCGGAUAUUACUUACCCACUAAUCCGAUCUCUGAUCCAAAUCCAAGCUAUUCAGCAGACAUCUUUGACAUACGAGUAUCUACGUCACACGUUCUUUAAAAU
Molecule: long non-coding RNA, 166 nt
Organism: Maniola jurtina (meadow brown)
Lineage: Eukaryota; Metazoa; Arthropoda; Insecta; Lepidoptera; Nymphalidae
Exons: 3
Source: RefSeq, a predicted model, not a curated record